AUUGAACGCUGGCGGCAGGCCUAACACAUGCAAGUCGAGCGAGCGGCGGACGGGUGAGUAAUGUAUGGGGACUGCCCGAUAGAGGGGGAUAACUACUGGAAACGGUGGCUAAUACCGCAUACUAUCGGAUAACCCAUAUGGGAUUAGCUAGUGGGUGGGGUAAGGGCUCACCUAGGCGACGACCUCUAGCUGGUCUGAGAGGAUGAUCAGCAACACUGGGACUGAGACACGGCCCAGAGUCCUACGGAGGCAGCAGGGGGGAAGAUUGCACAAUGGGCGCAAUCCGGAGGCAGCCAUGCGGCGUGUAGGAAGAAGGCCUCAGGGUUGUAAAGUACUUUCAGCGGGGAGGCGUUACCCGCAGAAGAAGCACCGGCUAACUCCGUGCCAGCAGCCGCGGUAAUAC
This 403-nucleotide ribosomal RNA is filed under the name uncultured bacterium. RNAcentral describes it as "partial 16S ribosomal RNA". It matches the Rfam family "Bacterial small subunit ribosomal RNA", at positions 29 to 526 of the family's 1533-position model. The record is from RNAcentral.